GAUGAACGCUGGCGGCGUGCCUAAUACAUGCAAGUCGAGCGAACGGACGAGAAGCUUGCUUUUCUGAUGUUAGCGGCGGACGGGUGAGUAACACGUGGAUAACCUACCUAUAAGACUGGGAUAACUUCGGGAAACCGGAGCUACUACCGGAUCAUAUUUUGAACCGCAUGGUUCAAAAGUUAAAGACGGUCUUGCUGUCACUUAUAGAUGGAUCCGCGCUGCAUUAGCUAGUUGGUAAGGUAACGGCUUACCAAGGCAACGAUGCAUAGCCGACCUGAGAGGGUGAUCGGCCACACUGGAACUGAGACACGGUCCAGACUCCUACGGGAGGCAGCAGUAGGGAAUCUUCCGCAAUGGGCGAAAGCCUGACGGAGCAACGCCGCGUGAGUGAUGAAGGUCUUCGGAUCGUAAAACUCUGUUAUUAGGGAAGAACAUAUGUGUAAGUAACUGUGCACAUCUUGACGGUACCUAAUCAGAAAGCCACGGCUAACUACGUG
RNAcentral lists this ribosomal RNA (497 nucleotides) under uncultured bacterium. RNAcentral's name for it is "partial 16S ribosomal RNA". It matches the Rfam family "Bacterial small subunit ribosomal RNA", at positions 28 to 507 of the family's 1533-position model. The record is from RNAcentral.